RNAcentral lists this ribosomal RNA (506 nucleotides) under uncultured bacterium. RNAcentral's name for it is "partial 16S ribosomal RNA". It matches the Rfam family "Bacterial small subunit ribosomal RNA", at positions 29 to 523 of the family's 1533-position model. The record is from RNAcentral.
AGUGAACGUUGGCGGUAGGCCUAACACAUGCAAGUCGAACGGCAGCACAGGAGAGCUUGCUCUCUGGGUGGCGAGUGGCGGACGGGUGAGGAAUACAUCGGAAUCUACUUUUUCGUGGGGGAUAACGUAGGGAAACUUACGCUAAUACCGCAUACGACCUACGGGUGAAAGCAGGGGACCUUCGGGCCUUGCGCGAUUGAAUGAGCCGAUGUCGGAUUAGCUAGUUGGCGGGGUAAAGGCCCACCAAGGCGACGAUCCGUAGCUGGUCUGAGAGGAUGAUCAGCAACACUGGAACUGAGACACGGUCCAGACUCCUACGGGAGGCAGCAGUGGGGAAUAUUGGACAAUGGGCGCAAGCCUGAUCCAGCCAUACCGCGUGGGUGAAGAAGGCCUUCGGGUUGUAAAGCCCUUUUGUUGGGAAAGAAAUCCAGCUGGCUAAUACCCGGUUGGGAUGACGGUAUCCAAAGAAUAAGCACCGGCUAACUUCGUGCCAGCAGCCGCAGUAA